AGAGUUUGAUCAUGGCUCAGAACGAACGUUAGCGGCGCGCCUAACACAUGCAAGUCGAGCGAGAAAGGGCUUCGGCCCCGGUACAGCGGCGCACGGGUGAGUAACACGUAGGUAAUCUACCCCCGAAUGGUGGAUAACCCUCCGAAAGGAGGGCUAAUACAGCAUAAGACCACGGCUUCUUCGGAGGCUGAGGCCAAAGCGGGCCUCUUCACGAAAGCUCGCGUUUGGGAAUGAGCCUGCGGCCCAUCAGCUAGUUGGCGGUGUAAUAGACCACCAAGGCUAAGACGGGUAGCUGGUCUGAGAGGAUGAACAGCCACACUGGAACUGAGACACGGUCCAGACUCCUACGGGAGGCAGCAGUGGGGAAUCUUGCGCAAUGGGCGAAAGCCUGACGCAGCGACGCCGCGUGAGUGAUGAAGGCCUUCGGGUUGUAAAGCUCUGUGGGGAGAGACGAAUAAGGUCCACCUAAUACGUGGACCGAUGACGGUAUCUCCUUAGCAAGCACCGGCUAACUCUGUGCCAGCAGCCGCGGUA
This 534-nucleotide ribosomal RNA is filed under the name uncultured Pseudomonadota bacterium. RNAcentral's name for it is "bacterial SSU rRNA". It matches the Rfam family "Bacterial small subunit ribosomal RNA", at positions 8 to 522 of the family's 1533-position model. Lineage: Bacteria; Pseudomonadati; Pseudomonadota. The record is from RNAcentral.